This 800-nucleotide ribosomal RNA is filed under the name Bacillus sp. CU34. RNAcentral's name for it is "bacterial SSU rRNA". It matches the Rfam family "Bacterial small subunit ribosomal RNA", at positions 374 to 1168 of the family's 1533-position model. The record is from RNAcentral. Lineage: Bacteria; Bacillati; Bacillota; Bacilli; Caryophanales; Bacillaceae.
GACGAAAGUCUGACGGAGCAACGCCGCGUGAGUGAUGAAGGUUUUCGGAUCGUAAAGCUCUGUUGUUAGGGAAGAACAAGUGCAAGAGUAACUGCUUGCACCUUGACGGUACCUAACCAGAAAGCCACGGCUAACUACGUGCCAGCAGCCGCGGUAAUACGUAGGUGGCAAGCGUUGUCCGGAAUUAUUGGGCGUAAAGGGCUCGCAGGCGGUUUCUUAAGUCUGAUGUGAAAGCCCCCGGCUCAACCGGGGAGGGUCAUUGGAAACUGGGAAACUUGAGUGCAGAAGAGGAGAGUGGAAUUCCACGUGUAGCGGUGAAAUGCGUAGAGAUGUGGAGGAACACCAGUGGCGAAGGCGACUCUCUGGUCUGUAACUGACGCUGAGGAGCGAAAGCGUGGGGAGCGAACAGGAUUAGAUACCCUGGUAGUCCACGCCGUAAACGAUGAGUGCUAAGUGUUAGGGGGUUUCCGCCCCUUAGUGCUGCAGCUAACGCAUUAAGCACUCCGCCUGGGGAGUACGGUCGCAAGACUGAAACUCAAAGGAAUUGACGGGGGCCCGCACAAGCGGUGGAGCAUGUGGUUUAAUUCGAAGCAACGCGAAGAACCUUACCAGGUCUUGACAUCCUCUGACAACCCUAGAGAUAGGGCUUUCCCUUCGGGGACAGAGUGACAGGUGGUGCAUGGUUGUCGUCAGCUCGUGUCGUGAGAUGUUGGGUUAAGUCCCGCAACGAGCGCAACCCUUGAUCUUAGUUGCCAGCAUUUAGUUGGGCACUCUAAGGUGACUGCCGGUGACAACCGGAG